CACCACCACGCCCUGUCCCCUUUCUCCACCCUGCAAGCUAGUUGCAUUUACCUCACAGAGCCUGGGCUGCGACUUGAAAGACUUUAGGCAGCAACAGAGUGACCCUGGGGGUGCUCUUGACCGACAGCCGCACCUCCGGCGUCUAGGACCUCCGAGCAGGGAUGCAUCUGGGGGUCUAGGGAAGCACUUCCACCCCCUCCUCUCCUCAACCCUGGCAGGAUGUGCCCGAAAUGCCAGCUCCUCCUUGGUGUUCUCCUUUCAAGAUUUGAAUUCAAAUCCCAUAUUGGCAGCCCUGAUACCGCUGGGGGAAGGGUGAGUGAGCCAUUCCUCUCCCUUGGAAUUCAUCAGAGUCAUCCCUGUAGAGCCCCCUUCCUGCCUCUCAAUGCCUCCUGCCUCACUUCCCAGGCUACCGCUGCUUCAAGACAGUGACGUUUCUCUCCGGUCAGCUGUCAGGAGCGCUGCUGGGUCUUACUGGGGAUCUGGCCAGCCUUGGGGACCCUUGGGGCCCUGGCCCAGUGGAAGCUUGUGCCUGAGGAACAUGGAGGCCACGCCAAUGAGUUACUUCCAGAGUCUUCAAGAGUGCCAACUGGGACCAGGACCCCAGGCCACAGCCCCCCACACCGUCCUGGACCUGGAUUCUGACUGUGGUUCCACUGUACCCCUCACCUUAAUCUCUGGUUCUAACCAGACCUGAGCCUAGACUUCCACUUUUUCCUUCACCCCUGUGAGGGCCUGGGAACACUAGGUGGGCAGGGUUUGAGCCCACAGGACCUGCACACAAACUUCCCCACCUCUUGGACUUGGGGACAGGAUCUGUGCCUCAACCCAGACCAGCCUUGUAGGGAUAUGUUCCAAGAAUAGAGAAGAGUCUUAUGGGGAAGGGGGAGGAAGGGAAGUAUGAAUAUUUACCUCUGACCAAUAAUAGAGGUGCCCUGGUCCCCAAAGAAACUGACUCCCGAAUUCCCUCCAAGCCUUACCCAUAUAGCUUUUUUUUUUUUUUUUUGAGACAAGGUCUUGUUCUGUCCAGUACCGUGGCGUGAUCACAGCUCAUGACAACUUUGAUUUCCCCGGCCCAAGCGAGCCUUUCAUUCAGCCUCCUGAGUGGCUGGGACCACAGACGCCACACACAGCUAAUUUUUAUUUGUUCGUUUUUAUUUUUUUUGCAGAGACAGGGUCUCCCUGUGUUGCCCAAGCUGGUCUUGAACUCCUGGGCUCAAGUGAUCCUCCUGCUUCAGCCUCCCAAAGUGCUAGGAUUACAGCCACCGCACCUGGUCUUGAAAUAGCCUUUUAAAUAUCUACCUCAGUGCCUCACAGUGGUAAAAAUAAGCGUUUUUUUGUUUUGUAGGAUCAGGGAGCUUCCAAGGCAUUUGAUAGCUUUUUGAUGGGAAGAAGGGCUCUGAGGAGCUCCAAGAUACCCCAACCUCCAGGCCCUUCAUUAGAGGGUAGUUGGGUUUCUGUUUGGCCUUUCCUACUGGGCCCCAUAGGCUUAAACUACCCCGCCACCUCCCCGCACCUCCUACCUCAGCUGGGAGCACUAUCUUCCAUGGUGCUUCCACUUCUCUCCUCAACCUGGGGAAGACCACAGGGCAGUGCCUGCCUCAGGACCUGCCUUCCCCAAAAGCUGGCUUCUUGCUCCAAGGAGAGAGCAUUGGCCCGCCUGCCAGAGUCUUGCCUUUUGCCCAAAAGGAGCCUGGUCUUCAGGGCUGCAUAGGAGACAAGUGCCUUCUCUGCUUCUCACUGUGGGUGGCACUAAUUUCCUCCUUAACCAGAACUUUGUUCCUGCCACUAACCCAUUCUAACUCUUCCCCCUCUGACUCUCCUGCCCAAGGUCUGUUCCUGGUUUCCCAGAUGCAUAAAGGAAGACAUAUCCGUCCCCUGGGCAGCAAGGCUACAAUGGGAGGGAGGGAGGGAGAACAUGGGAGCCUGUGAAUAAAAUGGCAUUAAAUACUGAA
Molecule: small RNA, 1952 nt
Filed under: Pongo abelii (Sumatran orangutan)
Lineage: Eukaryota; Metazoa; Chordata; Mammalia; Primates; Hominidae
Description: processed transcript
Source: RNAcentral